Molecule: long non-coding RNA, 380 nt
Filed under: Carica papaya (papaya)
Lineage: Eukaryota; Viridiplantae; Streptophyta; Magnoliopsida; Brassicales; Caricaceae
Description: long non-coding RNA (CPAP_LNC004890)
Source: RNAcentral
CAGAUUAAAACAAAAUGAACGGCUGAGAUCAAAAGGCAAGGGGUUAUAAAUAGAACCCCCACACCAGACCACAAACCCUAGCCGCCUGCCGCUCGCCGGAGAAGACAAACCAGAAGCCGGCCGCCGCCACCCGCCGCCGCGCCGGGGAAAUUUUCGACCGCCGAUCGAGGUAAAUUUCAUACCCCCGACUCGUUUUUCCACGCUGAUUCCUCUUGUGGCCAAAUCGGAGCCAAAAUCCCGGCCAAACGGCCGGAAUACGCGGCCAAAGACCAGCGGCGCCGCCGCGCCCCUUCUCGAUUUUUGCCUCCGACGAGGCCCUUCCCGGCCUCCGUUUGAUGCAAUUUUUAUAUCACCGUGAUCACCAUUCUUUUCUCUACAGG